RNAcentral lists this ribosomal RNA (463 nucleotides) under uncultured bacterium. RNAcentral's name for it is "partial 16S ribosomal RNA". It matches the Rfam family "Bacterial small subunit ribosomal RNA", at positions 28 to 507 of the family's 1533-position model. The record is from RNAcentral.
GACGAACGCUGGCGGCGUGCUUAACACAUGCAAGUCGAACGGAAAGGCCCUGCUUUUGUGGGGUGCUCGAGUGGCGAAAGGGUGAGUAACACGUGAGUAACCUGCCCUUGACUUUGGGAUAACUUCAUGCAACUGGGGCUAAUACCGGAUAGGAGCUCCUGCUGCAUGGUGGGGGUUGGAAAGUUUGGGCGGUUGGGGAUGGACUCGCGUUUUAUUAGCUUGUUGGUAGGGUGGUGUCUUGGCAAGGCGUCGACCCAUAGCUGGUCUGAGAGGAUGACCAGCUACAAUGGGACUGAGACACGGCCCAGACUCCUACGCGAGGCAGCAGUGGGGAAUAUUGGACAAUGGGCGAAGGCCUGAUCCAGCAAUGCCGCGUGAGUGAUGAAGGCCGUAGGAUUGUAAAGCUCUUUUACCCGGGAUGAUAAUGACAGUACCGGGAGAAUAAGCUCCGGCUAACUCCGUG